RNAcentral lists this ribosomal RNA (496 nucleotides) under uncultured bacterium. RNAcentral's name for it is "partial 16S ribosomal RNA". It matches the Rfam family "Bacterial small subunit ribosomal RNA", at positions 29 to 507 of the family's 1533-position model. The record is from RNAcentral.
AUGAACGCUGGCGGCGUGCCUAAUACAUGCAAGUCGAGCGAACGGACGAGAAGCUUGCUUCUCUGAUGUUAGCGGCGGACGGGUGAGUAACACGUGGAUAACCUACCUAUAAGACUGGGAUAACUUCGGGAAACCGGAGCUAAUACCGGAUAAUAUUUUGAACCGCAUGGUUCAAAAGUGAAAGACGGUCUUGCUGUCACUUAUAGAUGGAUCCGCGCUGCAUUAGCUAGUUGGUAAGGUAACGGCUUACCAAGGCAACGAUGCAUAGCCGACCUGAGAGGGUGAUCGGCAACAUUGGAACUGAGACACGGUCCAGACGCCUACGGGAGGCAGCAGUAGGGAAUCUUACGCAAUGGGCGAAAGCCUGACGGAGCAACGCCGCGUGAGUGAUGAAGGUCUUCGGAUCGUAAAACUCUGUUAUUAGGGAAGAACAUAUGUGUAAGUAACUGUGCACAUCUUGACGGUACCUAAUCAGAAAGCCACGGCUAACUACGUG